GUACACAAAAAUGCACAUAUUGUGAGCUCGAUGAGUAGGGCGGGACACGUGGUAUCCUGUCUGAAUAUGGGGGGACCAUCCUCCAAGGCUAAAUACUCCUGACUGACCGAUAGUGAACCAGUACCGUGAGGGAAAGGCGAAAAGAACCCCGGCGAGGGGAGUGAAAAAGAACCUGAAACCGUGUACGUACAAGCAGUGGGAGCCUCUUUAUGGGGUGACUGCGUACCUUUUGUAUAAUGGGUCAGCGACUUAUAUUCUGUAGCAAGGUUAACCGAAUAGGGGAGCCGAAGGGAAACCGAGUCUUAACUGGGCGUUAAGUUGCAGGGUAUAGACCCGAAACCCGGUGAUCUAGCCAUGGGCAGGUUGAAGGUUGGGUAACACUAACUGGAGGACCGAACCGACUAAUGUUGAAAAAUUAGCGGAUGACUUGUGGCUGGGGGUGAAAGGCCAAUCAAACCGGGAGAUAGCUGGUUCUCCCCGAAAGCUAUUUAGGUAGCGCCUCGUGAAUUCAUCUCCGGGGGU
Molecule: ribosomal RNA, 522 nt
Filed under: Escherichia coli
Lineage: Bacteria; Pseudomonadati; Pseudomonadota; Gammaproteobacteria; Enterobacterales; Enterobacteriaceae
Description: partial 23S ribosomal RNA
Rfam family: Bacterial large subunit ribosomal RNA
Source: RNAcentral